UACGAAGGGGGCUAGCGUUGUUCGGAAUCACUGGGCGUAAAGGGCGCGUAGGCGGCUUGGCAAGUCGGGUGUGAAAUCCCUUGGCUUAACUAAGGAAUGGCGCUCGAAACUACCUCGCUAGAGGGCGGGAGAGGGAAGUGGAACUCUCGGUGUAGGGGUGAAAUCUGUAGAUAUCGAGAGGAACACCGGUGGCGAAGGCGGCUUCCUGGCCCGCAUCUGACGCUGAGGCGCGAAAGCGUGGGGAGCAAACAGG
This 253-nucleotide ribosomal RNA is filed under the name uncultured bacterium. RNAcentral describes it as "partial 16S ribosomal RNA". It matches the Rfam family "Bacterial small subunit ribosomal RNA", at positions 524 to 776 of the family's 1533-position model. The record is from RNAcentral.